CCAACUUCCAUAGUCCCUGGAAGCAACCUUCCAACCCACCAAUUGAACCGCUACAAUGCCUCAGGACAUGCCCCCCGCUGGGGGCUAUCAGCCCAUCCAGUAUAAGCGCAACCUCCCCGUCCGCGGCUUCCGGCCCGUCUACUACCUCGUCGGCAUGCACCUGAUCAUGGCAUACGGCUUCUAUAAGGUAUUCCUGGGAAUCCGGGAGCAGAAGUAAGUUAAGGGACAUCGAAUCGAACCACCACCACCUCCACACACGAAAAACCUUUGAUAUCAUACGAUAAACCAGGUUUCCCUGCCCGCCCUCCCGGGCCUCCAUUUUUUACAUUCCCCGCGUUACAAAUGGAGAGAGCUAACCAGCGCCCGAAUUCCUAUCGUCUUUUUUAAUCCUUCGCAGUGAACUCGGUCGCGAAAAGAUGUGGUCCCGCAUCCACCUAAUCCCGCUCCUCCAGGCGGAGGAAGACCGCGACCAGGUCCGCAGACACCUGGCGGACAAAGCGCGGGAGAAGCAGCUGAUGGGAUCGGAGACUAAGGUUUAUCAUUCGGACCGAUUCGUGAGGCCGACGUUCUGGUACACGCCUGCCAACGUGACGAAAUAAAGAACGAUGUCUCAGAGGGAAAGGGGAUGGGGAUAGGGAUGGGGAUGGGGUGUGCGGUGUGCGGUGUAUGGGGGCUUUAAAUCAUAUCUCUCUGUGCAGACUUGCAUUUGCAUGAAAGGGAGAAGAAGGGAGAGAAGGGAGGUGGGGGCGGGCGCCGAGGUUUAGACCCCUUCAAAAACAUAAAUUAUGCUUUCUCUACUCGGUUUUGUGUAUGAAGAAUGCUGAAUGGGAUGGGAUGGGGAGAUGGAAGGGCAAUCUCGGCCGUGGAAAGGUUGUUGUUGAUGUUGUUGUUGGCCGUUCAUAGAGGUAAUGGGAUUUUUUUUUUUUUUCUUUCCUUUGGGAUUCUCUUUUUCUUGUCUUUUCGUUGUGCAUGUACUGUACUGCCUACUGCCCUUUUUGUUCCCUUGUAUAGAGAGAGAAGAAGAGAAAGGCGGAAUGCGGGAAAAAUAAAAAAAAGAAAAACCUAAUGUGAAUAUUUGCAGUUCAUGGUUCCGUAAAUCUGUAAAUCUUUUUAAAUUAUAGUUACAUACA
RNAcentral lists this small RNA (1130 nucleotides) under Histoplasma capsulatum. RNAcentral describes it as "hypothetical RNA". Lineage: Eukaryota; Fungi; Ascomycota; Eurotiomycetes; Onygenales; Ajellomycetaceae. The record is from RNAcentral.